AGAGAUCAUGGCUCAGAAUCAACGCUGGCGGCGUGCCUCAGACAUGCAAGUCGAACGAUUAAAGCUCCCUUCGGGGAGUGUAUAGAGUGGCGCACGGGUGAGUAACACGUAAGUAAUCUACCUUUGAGUGGGGAAUAACAUCGGGAAACCGAUGCUAAUACCGCAUAAUGCAGCGGCACCGCAAGGUGACAGUUGUUAAAGGAGCAAUUCGCUUGAAGAGGAGCUUGCGGCAGAUUAGCUAGUUGGUAAGGUAAUGGCUUACCAAGGCUACGAUCUGUAUCCGGUCUAAGAGGACGGUCGGACACACUGACACUGAAUAACGGGUCAGACUCCUACGAGAGGCAGCAGUCGGGAAUUUUGGGCAAUGGGCGAAAGCCUGACCCAGCAACGCCGCGUGAAGGAUGAAGUAUUUCGGUAUGUAAACUUCGAAAGAAUGGGAAGAAUAAAUGACGGUACCAUUUAUAAGGUCCGGCUAACUACGUGCCAGCAGCCGCGGUAAUACGUAGGGACCAAGCGUUGUUCGGAUUUACUGGGCGUAAAGGGCGCGUAGGCGGCGUGGUAAGUCACUUGUGAAAUCUCUGAGCUUAACUCAGAACGGUCAAGUGAUACUGCUGUGCUAGAGUGCAGAAGGGGCAAUCGGAAUUCUUGGUGUAGCGGUGAAAUGCGUAGAUAUCAAGAGGAACACCUGAGGUGAAGACGGGUUGCUGGGCUGACACUGACGCUGAGGCGCGAAAGCCAGGGGAGCAAACCGGAUUAGAUACCCCGGUAGUCCUGGCCCUAAACGAUGAAUACUUGGUGUCUGGAGUUUUAAUGCUCCGGGUGCCCUCCCUAAAGUUUUAAGUAUUCCGCCUGGGGAGGUCGCACGCAAGUGUGAAACUCCAAAGAAAUGACGGGG
RNAcentral lists this ribosomal RNA (895 nucleotides) under uncultured Acidobacteriota bacterium. Its description in RNAcentral is "bacterial SSU rRNA". It matches the Rfam family "Bacterial small subunit ribosomal RNA", at positions 8 to 918 of the family's 1533-position model. The record is from RNAcentral. Lineage: Bacteria; Pseudomonadati; Acidobacteriota.